RNAcentral lists this long non-coding RNA (232 nucleotides) under Homo sapiens (human). Its description in RNAcentral is "HSALNT0168534". The record is from RNAcentral. Lineage: Eukaryota; Metazoa; Chordata; Mammalia; Primates; Hominidae.
CCCAAAUUGGGGACUAUGGGGGCACCAUCCGUGUGAAUUACAUCCACAAAUUUGGCAUCGCUGGGGUCCAAUCGGACUAAUUCAGGUGUGCCCUGAAAGCAAGGAGGAAGCGGGUGUUGACAUCUUUUGGAGACCAAGGCAAUAUAUGGAGGGGUCUUUCCGUAAUUCCUGACCAUGGGGAGUCAUCACUGAAGCAGCCGAGUCUUUCGUAGCAAACUUCUUUUCCUGCAAU